AGAGUUUGAUCCUGGCUCAGAUUGAACGCUGGCGGUAUGCUUAACACAUGCAAGUCGAACGGUAACAUGAAAUAGCUUGCCUCCUGGCUGACGAGUGGCGGACGGGCGAGUAACGCGUAGGAAUCUGCCUAAUAGAUGGGGACAACUCAGGGAAACUUGAGCUAAUACCGAAUACGCCCUACGGGGGAAAGCGGGGGAUCUUCGGACCUCGCGCUAUUAGAUGAGCCUGCGUUGGAUUAGCUAGUUGGUGAGGUAAUGGCUCACCAAGGCGACGAUCCAUAGCUGGUCUGAGAGGACGAUCAGCCACACUGGGACUGAGACACGGCCCAGACUCCUACGGGAGGCAGCAGUGGGGAAUAUUGGACAAUGGGCGCAAGCCUGAUCCAGCAAUACCGCGUGUGUGAAGAAGGCCUUAGGGUUGUAAAGCACUUUCAGCAGUGAAGAAAUGCUUAAGCUUAAUACGCUUGAGUCUUGACGUUAACUGCACAAGAAGCACCGGCUAACUCCGUGCCAGCAGCCGCGGUAAUACGGGGGGUGCAAGCGUUAAUCGGAUUUACUGGGCGUAAAGCGCGCGUAGGUGGUUUGGCAAGUUGGAUGUGAAAGCCCCGGGCUCAACCUGGGAAUUGCAUCCAAAACUGCUAAGACUAGAGUGUAGUAGAGGGAAGUGGAAUUCCGGGUGUAGGGUGAAAUGCGUAGAUAUAGGAAGGAACAUCAGUGGCGAAGGCGAUCGCCUGGACUAAUACUGACACUGAGGUGCGAAAGCGUGGGUAGCAAACAGGAUUAGAUACCCUGGUAGUCCACGCCGUAAACGAUGUCAACUAGCCGUUGGGAGGAUUGCCUCUUGGUGGCGCGUAGCUAACGCAUUAAGUUGACCGCCUGGGGAGUACGGCCGCAAGGUUAAAACUCAAAUGAAUUGACGGGGACCCGCACAAGCGGUGGAGCAUGUGGUUUAAUUCGAUGCAACGCGAAGAACCUUACCUACCCUUGACAUACAGAGAACUUUCCAGAGAUGGAUUGGUGCCUUCGGGAGCUCUGAUACAGGUGCUGCAUGGCUGUCGUCAGCUCGUGUCGUGAGCUGUUGGGUUAAGUCCCGUAACGAGCGCAACCCUUAUCCUUAGUUGCCAACGGUUAGGCCGGGAACUUUAGGGAGACUGCCGGUGAUAAACCGGAGGAAGGUGGGGACGACGUCAAGUCAUCAUGGCCCUUAUGGGUAGGGCUACACACGUGCUACAAUGGUCGGUACAGAGGGCUGCAAACUCGCGAGAGUAAGCUAAUCUCAGAAAGCCGAUCUUAGUCCGGAUUGGAGUCUGCAACUCGACUCCAUGAAGUUGGAAUCGCUAGUAAUCGCGGAUCAGAAUGCCGCGGUGAAUACGUUCCCGGGCCUUGUACACACCGCCCGUCACACCAUGGGAGUGGGUUGCAAAAGAAGUGGGUAGACUAACCUUCGGGAGGUCGCUCACCACUUUGUGAUUCAUGACUGGGGUGAAGUCGUAACAAGGUAACC
This 1504-nucleotide ribosomal RNA is filed under the name uncultured prokaryote. RNAcentral describes it as "partial 16S ribosomal RNA". It matches the Rfam family "Bacterial small subunit ribosomal RNA". The record is from RNAcentral.